GAUGAACGCUGGCGGCGUGCCUAAUACAUGCAAGUCGAGCGAACAGACGAGGAGCUUGCUCCUCUGACGUUAGCGGCGGACGGGUGAGUAACACGUGGAUAACCUACCUAUAAGACUGGGAUAACUUCGGGAAACCGGAGCUAAUACCGGAUAAUAUAUUGAACCGCAUGGUUCAAUAGUGAAAGACGGUUUUGCUGUCACUUAUAGAUUGAUCCGCGCCGCAUUAGCUAGUUGGUAAGGUAACGGCUUACCAAGGCAACGAUGCGUAGCAGACCUAAGAGGGAGAUAGGCAACGAUAGAACUGAGAAACGGUACAGACACCUAAGGGAGGCAGCAGUAGGGAAUAUGGAGCAAUGGACGAAAGCCUAACGGCGCAACGCCGCGUGAGUGAUGAAGGUAUUCGGAACGUAAAACUAUGUUAUUAGGGAAGAACAAAUGUGUAAGUAAAUAUGCAAGUCUUGACGGUACCUAAUCAGAAAGCCACGGCUAACUAAGUG
Molecule: ribosomal RNA, 497 nt
Filed under: uncultured bacterium
Lineage: Bacteria
Description: partial 16S ribosomal RNA
Rfam family: Bacterial small subunit ribosomal RNA
Source: RNAcentral